GCCAGUAGUCAAAGCGUCGUUUUCUCGCUCACGUGGGUCGGCAUUGCAGAACAAAGAGCGGCAUCAU
This 67-nucleotide small nucleolar RNA is filed under the name Trypanosoma cruzi. RNAcentral's name for it is "C/D small nucleolar RNA (snoRNA)". Lineage: Eukaryota; Euglenozoa; Kinetoplastea; Trypanosomatida; Trypanosomatidae. The record is from RNAcentral.